GAUGAAGAACGCAGCGAAAUGCGAUACGUAAUGUGAAUUGCAAAUUCAGUGAAUCAUCGAGUCUUUGAACGCACAUUGCGCCCCCUGGUAUUCCGGGGGGCAUGCCUGUCCGAGCGUCAUUGCUGCCCUCAAGCACGGCUUGUGUGUUGGGCCCCGUCCUCCGAUCCCGGGGGACGGGCCCGAAAGGCAGCGGCGGCACCGCGUCCGGUCCUCGAGCGUAUGGGGCUUUGUCACCCGCUCUGUAGGCCCGGCCGGCGCUUGCCGAUCAACCCAAAUUUUUAUCCAGGUUGACCUCGGAUCAGGUAGGGAUACCCGCUGAACUUAUGCAUAUCAAUAAGCGGAGGA
Molecule: unclassified non-coding RNA, 345 nt
Filed under: soil metagenome
Description: partial contains 5.8S ribosomal RNA, internal transcribed spacer 2, and large subunit ribosomal RNA
Rfam family: 5.8S ribosomal RNA (bases 1-119)
Source: RNAcentral